This 1515-nucleotide ribosomal RNA is filed under the name metagenome. RNAcentral's name for it is "bacterial LSU rRNA". It matches the Rfam family "Bacterial large subunit ribosomal RNA", at positions 1431 to 2925 of the family's 2925-position model. The record is from RNAcentral.
UGAGCGUGGGAACCUGGUGGGUAGUAGUCAAGCGAUGGGGUGACGCAGGAAGGUAGCUGAUCCCGGCCGGUGGUUGUGCCGGGGUAAGCGUGUAGGCCGGUGUGUAGGCAAAUCCGCACACCAUGAAGGCUGAGACGUGAUGCCGAGCCGAUUCAGGUGAAGUCAGUGAUCCUAUGCUGCCGAGAAAAGCCUCUAGCGAGUUCUUAGCGGCCCGUACCCCAAACCGACACAGGUGGUCAGGUAGAGAAUACCAAGGCGACGGGCGAACUGUGGUUAAGGAACUCGGCAAAUUACCCCCGUAACUUCGGGAGAAGGGGGGCCGGACACGUGAAGCAACACGCUUGUGGAGCGUGGUAUGGCCGCAGAGACCAGGGGGAAGCGACUGUUUACUAAAAACACAGGUCCAUGCGAAGAAGUAAUUCGAUGUAUAUGGACUGACGCCUGCCCGGUGCUGGAACGUUAAGGGGACCUGUUAGCUCUUCGGGGCGAAGCGGAGAACUUAAGCGCCAGUAAACGGCGGUGGUAACUAUAACCAUCCUAAGGUAGCGAAAUUCCUUGUCGGGUAAGUUCCGACCUGCACGAAUGGCGUAACGACUUCCCUACUGUCUCAACCACAGGCCCGGCGAAAUUGCAGUACGAGUAAAGAUGCUCGUUACGCGCGGCAGGACGGAAAGACCCCGGGACCUUUACUAUAGCUUGACAUUGGUAUCUGAGUUAAUUUGUGUAGGAUAGGUGGGAGCCUGUGAAGCUCGUACGCCAGUACGGGUGGAGGCAAUCUUGAAAUACCACUCUGGUUGAUUCGGGUAUCUAACUUCGGACCGUGAUCCGGUUCAGGGACAGUGUCUGGUGGGUAGUUUAACUGGGGCGGUUGCCUCCUAAAGAGUAACGGAGGCGCCCAAAGGUUCCCUCAGCCUGGUUGGCAAUCAGGUGUUGAGUGUAAGUGCACAAGGGAGCUUGACUGUGAGACUGACAGGUCGAGCAGGGACGAAAGUCGGGACUAGUGAUCCGGCACCGGCAUGUGGAAGCGGUGUCGCUCAACGGAUAAAAGGUACCCCGGGGAUAACAGGCUGAUCUUCCCCAAGAGUCCAUAUCGACGGGAUGGUUUGGCACCUCGAUGUCGGCUCGUCGCAUCCUGGGGCUGUAGCAGGUCCCAAGGGUUGGGCUGUUCGCCCAUUAAAGCGGUACGCGAGCUGGGUUUAGAACGUCGUGAGACAGUUCGGUCCCUAUCCGCCGUGCGCGUAGGAUACUUGAGAAGGGCUGUCCCUAGUACGAGAGGACCGGGACGGACGAACCUCUGGUGUGCCAGUUGUCCCGCCAGGGGCACGGCUGGUUAGCUACGUUCGGAAGGGAUAACCGCUGAAAGCAUCUAAGCGGGAAGCUCGCUUCAAGAUGAGGUAUCCCACCCACACUUGUGAGGGGUAAGGCCCCCAGCUAGACCACUGGGUUGAUAGGCAGGAAAUGUAAGCCCGGUAACGGGUUCAGUUGACCUGUACUAAUAGGCCGAGGACUUGACAU